This 323-nucleotide ribosomal RNA is filed under the name uncultured eukaryote. RNAcentral describes it as "partial 18S ribosomal RNA". It matches the Rfam family "Eukaryotic small subunit ribosomal RNA", at positions 1470 to 1796 of the family's 1831-position model. The record is from RNAcentral.
CCCUUAGAUGUUCUGGGCCGCACGCGCGCUACACUGACGAAGUCAGCGAGCAUGUCCUACGCCGACAGGUGCGGGGAAUCUUGUCAAACUUCGUCGUGAUGGGGAUUGAUUAUUGAAAUUCUUGAUCAUCAACGAGGAAUUCCUAGUAAGCGCAAGUCAGCAGCUUGCGUUGAUUACGUCCCUGCCCUUUGUACACACCGCCCGUCGCUACUACCGAUUGAAUGUUUCGGUGAAGAUUCCGGAUAGGACUUUUUUGAUUUAUUUCAAUUUUGUCUUAAAAGCUAUCUAAACCUCAACAUUUAGAGGAAGGUGAAGUCGUAACA